AGGUAUGUGGUUUAAUUCGAUGCAACGCGAAGAACCUUACCUGGUCUUGACAUCCCGGAGACCCUUAGGAAACUAGGGGGUGCUUCCAUCUGGAAGAAUCUGGAGACAGGUGCUGCAUGGCUGUCGUCAGCUCGUGUCGUGAGAUGUUGGGUUAAGUCCCGCAACGAGCGCAACCCUUGCCUUUAGUUGCCAGCAGUUCGGCUGGGCACUCUAAAGGGACUGCCGGUGUUAAACCGGAGGAAGGUGGGGAUGACGUCAAGUCCUCAUGGCCUUUAUGACCAGGGCUACACACGUACUACAAUGGCCGAUACAAAGGGCAGCGACACUGCGAGGUGAAGCCAAUCCCGUAAAAUCGGUCUCAGUCCGGAUUGGAGUCUGCAACUCGACUCCAUGAAGUUGGAAUCGCUAGUAAUCGUGGAUCAGCAUGCCACGGUGAAUACGUUCCCGGGCCUU
Molecule: ribosomal RNA, 453 nt
Filed under: uncultured Desulfobulbus sp.
Lineage: Bacteria; Pseudomonadati; Thermodesulfobacteriota; Desulfobulbia; Desulfobulbales; Desulfobulbaceae
Description: bacterial SSU rRNA
Rfam family: Bacterial small subunit ribosomal RNA
Source: RNAcentral